RNAcentral lists this ribosomal RNA (442 nucleotides) under uncultured bacterium. RNAcentral's name for it is "partial 16S ribosomal RNA". It matches the Rfam family "Bacterial small subunit ribosomal RNA", at positions 338 to 795 of the family's 1533-position model. The record is from RNAcentral.
UCUACGGGGGGCAGCAGUGGGGAAUAUUGGGCAAUGGGCGCAAGCCUGACCCAGCAACGCCGCGUGAAGGAAGAAGGCUUUCGGGUUGUAAACUUCUUUUAAGGGGGACGAACAAAUGACGGUACCCCUUGAAUAAGCCACGGCUAACUACGUGCCAGCAGCCGCGGUAAUACGUAGGUGGCAAUCGUUAUCCGGAUUUAUUGGGGGUAAAGGGCGUGUAGGCGGGAGCGCAAGUCAGAUGUGAAAACUCAGGGCUCAACCCUGAGCCUGCAUUUGAAACUGUGUUUCUUGAGUGCUUGAGAGGCAAUCGGAAUUCCGGGUGUAGCGGUGAAAUGCGUAGAUAUACGGAGGAACACCAGUGGCGAAGGCGGAUUGCUGGACAGUAACUGACGCUGAGGCGCGAAAGCGUGGGGAGCAAACAGGAGUAGAUACCCCGGUAGUC